RNAcentral lists this ribosomal RNA (471 nucleotides) under uncultured bacterium. RNAcentral's name for it is "bacterial SSU rRNA". It matches the Rfam family "Bacterial small subunit ribosomal RNA", at positions 355 to 825 of the family's 1533-position model. The record is from RNAcentral.
UGGGGAAUAUUGGACAAUGGGCGGAAGCCUGAUCCAGCAAUACCGCGUGUGUGAAGAAGGCCUUAGGGUUGUAAAGCACUUUCAAUAGGGAGGAAAAAGGUAAGCUUAAUACGUUUGCCCUUGACAUUACCUAUACAAGAAGCACCGGCUAACUCCGUGCCAGCAGCCGCGGUAAUACGGAGGGUGCAAGCGUUAAUCGGAAUUACUGGGCGUAAAGCGUGCGUAGGCGGCCUGUUAAGUCAGAUGUGAAAGCCCCGGGCUCAACCUGGGAACUGCAUUUGAAACUGGCAAGCUAGAGUUGGGUAGAGGCGAGUGGAAUUUCAGGUGUAGCGGUGAAAUGCGUAGAUAUCUGAAGGAACACCAGUGGCGAAGGCGACUCCCUGGACUCAAACUGACGCUGAGGCACGAAAGCGUGGGUAGCAAACAGGAUUAGAUACCCCCGUAGUCCCUGAGCGGGCUGGCAAGGCGCAU